RNAcentral lists this transfer RNA (83 nucleotides) under Quadrisphaera sp. INWT6. Its description in RNAcentral is "tRNA-Leu". It matches the Rfam family "tRNA". Rfam says of the family: Transfer RNA (tRNA) molecules are approximately 80 nucleotides in length. Their secondary structure includes four short double-helical elements and three loops (D, anti-codon, and T loops). Further hydrogen bonds mediate the characteristic L-shaped molecular structure. tRNAs have two regions of fundamental functional importance: the anti-codon, which is responsible for specific mRNA codon recognition, and the 3' end, to which the tRNAs corresponding amino acid is attached (by aminoacyl-tRNA synthetases). tRNAs cope with the degeneracy of the genetic code in two manners: having more than one tRNA (with a specific anti-codon) for a particular amino acid; and 'wobble' base-pairing, i.e. permitting non-standard base-pairing at the 3rd anti-codon position. The record is from RNAcentral. Lineage: Bacteria; Bacillati; Actinomycetota; Actinomycetes; Kineosporiales; Kineosporiaceae.
GCCGGGUUGGUGGAACGGUAGACACCGAGCUCUCAAAAUGCUCUGCCCGCAAGGGCGUGCGGGUUCGAAUCCCGCACCCGGCA